GGCUCGUUCGUCUAUCGGUCGCAGGAUACGGCCCUUUCAAGGCCGAGAGAUGGGUUCGAUUCCCAUACGAGCUG
This 74-nucleotide transfer RNA is filed under the name Planctomycetota bacterium. RNAcentral's name for it is "Planctomycetes bacterium (groundwater metagenome) tRNA-Glu". It matches the Rfam family "tRNA". Rfam says of the family: Transfer RNA (tRNA) molecules are approximately 80 nucleotides in length. Their secondary structure includes four short double-helical elements and three loops (D, anti-codon, and T loops). Further hydrogen bonds mediate the characteristic L-shaped molecular structure. tRNAs have two regions of fundamental functional importance: the anti-codon, which is responsible for specific mRNA codon recognition, and the 3' end, to which the tRNAs corresponding amino acid is attached (by aminoacyl-tRNA synthetases). tRNAs cope with the degeneracy of the genetic code in two manners: having more than one tRNA (with a specific anti-codon) for a particular amino acid; and 'wobble' base-pairing, i.e. permitting non-standard base-pairing at the 3rd anti-codon position. Lineage: Bacteria; Pseudomonadati; Planctomycetota. The record is from RNAcentral.